GCGGUACAGCAUCAUCAUCACAGUUGGAUGGAGAAGAUGGCAGCUUAUCAACUCUUCCUCCACCACCUCCACCACCUCCAUUGCCCCAGAGUGGUGAUGCAGAUUCUGUGGAUGUGUCUGCGAUGCCUGCAUCUUUACCUUUACCACCUCCACCUCCUAUGCCCCCAAAGCCCGUGACAGAAAUGAGCACUUCAUUGCCACUGCCUCCUUUGCCCCCACCACCUCCUGGUCCCCCACCAAAGGAACAGGUUGCCGUUCACCUUCCACUUCCUCCACCUCCCGCACCUCCCCUUCAGCCAUCUGCUCAACCUCCUCCCCCCGGCACUGGUGGAAGUGAAAGGGAUAGAAAUAACCUGGACAAUCCAGCUUC
RNAcentral lists this long non-coding RNA (370 nucleotides) under Nicotiana tabacum (common tobacco). Its description in RNAcentral is "long non-coding RNA (NTAB_LNC008430)". Lineage: Eukaryota; Viridiplantae; Streptophyta; Magnoliopsida; Solanales; Solanaceae. The record is from RNAcentral.